Equus caballus (horse) is the source of this 6941-nucleotide non-coding RNA. NCBI's taxonomy places the organism in Eukaryota, Metazoa, Chordata, Mammalia, Perissodactyla, Equidae. The record is from RefSeq and is a predicted model, not a curated record.
UAAGUCUGCACCCAGGAUCUGGGCGGGUGAACCUUGAGCCGAGCGUGUGAACUUAACCGCUGUGCCAUCGGGCCGACCCCAAAGUAUUCAUUCUUAAAGAGACCUUAAAGAACAUCUAGUCUAGUAGUCGGUGAACUAACUACUAGUUGAUGGCAGAUAUCUUUCUUCAAAGAAAGCCUCAGUACCAAAAGCAAACAAUAUGUUGGAUGGGGUGGCCCAACCGCUCCUUUCCCGAAGGGUCCAGAGGAGCAUUGUUUGCAAAUCAUUGAUAUGCUAGACCUGUCUCAUUUUAUAGAUUAGGAAACUGAGGCCCAGAAAAGAAAUGACUUGGCCAAGAUGACUUUUCUAUUUGAUGACAGCACUGGGGCUCAACCUACAUUUCUUGAAUCUCUUUUUGGCCAAAGGUCUUUCCACCAUAUUAUGUUAUUUCAUUGAAAUGCUAGAUUUGAAAGUCUGGUGGUGCUUUCUAGUUUGCAUUCAUUUGUAGUUCUGAGAUGCUGAGAGAUGUUUGCCAACGUGAGUCUGGGGAGUAUCUGAGAAGCUGGAGGGAAAUGUUGGAGAGUCCCUACCCACCACCCCGCCCUCAGCACUGCCAAGCAAGGCUGAUCAUAUAAAAAAAAAUGUUUAAUGAGUUCACUGUGCAUUUUGUUUCUGCUGCUUCUUGCCUGUGGGCUUCAGUCAAAAGAAUCUGGAUUGGAAGCCCAGCCAAACACUUUCAACAGAUCAAAUCACAGUCACGCUGUCAUCCGAUAGAAAUGUAGCAUCACCCGAACCUCUGGGCUCUUGUUCACACAUGUGGAUUCUAACCAGCAAAGGAAUAAGCUGCAGCACCCACAAGCAAAUAUCUCUGAACUUCACUGAGAUUGAUGACAAUGGUAAUAAAAAUAGUCUUUUCCAUGACGAACACUACCAGUAAGUCAACAGUUAAAAAGGGAUAGUUUUAAGAGUAACCAAUGCAUUAGCUCUUGUCAAUGAGAUUCCUUUUGGCAGUAAUAUAUUCUGGGGAUUAAGUUAAACCAAAUGUUUGUAACAAUGGAAAUGUAGUCAUGUUAACAGUUAGGAUUAUCGUCCCAGUGAAUAUUUACUGUAGUUACAUUCAAAUUUACCCUUUAAUUUACCCCUUUGGACACUGUUUGAUCAUUUUCCUCUCUUUUUGAUGAAUUCCAUUUUAGAUUAAAACCAGCAGAAAGCAUCCUUUAACAUUUUAAAAGCCUUGCAGUUUAUUUUCUUUUAAAAUGUUUAUGCUUUUUUUUUUUUUUUUUUUUUUUGAGCUGCUACUCACCCUGCUGUCUGCACAGUGAUGAGAGUAGGCGGUGAAAGUCCUGCUUGAGAAAGUUCUGUGAGUUCUUUGGCCACACUUGACCUUACUGGUGCUCAUAACUCUCAGACCAAGCCAUGACUGAAUACUACAUGGCAUUUUUCCUGAUUUCUCUUUGAUUUCACAUCCAUUUUCUGCCACUUGGUUACUUGGUGGCCAUGCAGGUAAGAGGCCGAGUGUUGACUUUAUAACCUGGGAGCCCAUUCGUAUGUGACCUCACAUAAAGUUUCUGCUGGCUCCUGGGUGACUCUGGAGAUUCCUGGGUGCAGAAUUCAGCAAGAUCAGGACCUAGUGUUGUGUAUCACAAAUAUACGUUGUUAUUUACAGGACUUUUCUGAAAAUGGCCCUGUCUCGUAAUAUUUUUGUUGAUUGGUGUAAGGAAAAUUCUUUUAUCUCAUUUGGCCAUAAGUGACACCUUAUCAUGUUUUUACUCUGUCAAAUGGGUGGAUGAGGGUGUUAGAGAAUUUGCACUUUGGGUUGCUUGGAUAAUGUUUUCUUUUGUCACUUUUGACCAUUUACACACAAGGAUGACAUUUAUUCCUCCACAUGGAAAGAGAGGAGAGAGGCCCCAUGAAUGGCUUCAGAGCACCUAUGACCCAGAUGCCUUGAGAGGGCCCUCGCAGCCCACCAUGCCGGCGGGAGUGUCCUUUACUCUCCCAGGCUGCCAGAUUCCAGCAAGCUCAGAGAGCCCAAGGACGAAUGUUUGUAACAGUGGAAAUGUACUCAUGUUAACAGUUGGGAUUAUCAUCCCAGUUAAUAUUUGCUGUAGUUACAUUCAAAUUUACCCUUUUGGACACUGUUUGAUCAGUGGGCGAGGAAAUCCUUGUUCAUUCCCAGGUCGCUCCCAGGCCACCAUACAACCACCAGGUGCAGAAGAGAACAGUUGUUCGGGGGCCCCACACCUUCAAGCUAACCACGGGGCCUCAAGCAGGAACUGAUUGUCCAUCUUCCUGUCACACAGGGUUCUCAACCGUUGUUGCACCCAUGGUCACCUCAGAAGCUCUUUUAAAACACUGAUGCUAAAAUUCCAAUCCAAACCAAUAAAUCAGAAGCCUCGGGGUAGAGCACGAACAACCCUAUGUGUUUAUAGCUCCCCAGAUGAUUUCCACUUACUCAACUACCCUCUUCUCAAUAAGUCUUUGACCUCAUAGAGAUCUUUGAUCCAUUGACCCGAUUGUUUUUUCACUAUUCAUCACUUCCUCGUGUCCUGGUGUUCAAACUCCCAUAGUCCAUAAUUAUAGUCACGUGCAAACACGCAAUCUUUCCCCACUGUUAAAGUCCCCUAACACUGUUAACUCACUGCCACAACCACUCCGUGCCUGGACCAGAUCUCCUAAAAAUCCCUAGGGAAAAACACGUAACCAACCAUGCUGGUUGUUUUAAUUUUAAAUCCACAAUCACAAAUCUCAGUUGGCACACAGCACAGCUCAAAAACCCUAUUAUGCUUUCAUAUUUUUGGUUUAGUAUACUACAGGCUCUGUUGUCUCUGCUUCAAACCUCCUAUAUUCCCUUCCCUUCCCACCACUCUUGGUGGUGGCUGAUGACGCUGCCUCAUAAUUCACUGUGAAAAUACAGAUACCAGAGGGAAUUCCUCGUCUUUCUACCUCCAAAUCUACAAAAUGACCCACAUCUGUAUUCACACGCUUUGCCCUCCCUCUGCUGGCUAUGGAUAAAGUGUUCCCUCUCCUAUGGAGAUCAACCCUCUAAUUUUGCUCUUGAUCUCUUCUCUUGUCUUUUGGGGGACUUCGUUCUUGCCUUCAUAUGAAUGCGUUGCCAGUUUCUUCCCACGGUUUAUAAAUAUCCUUCAGUAUCUUCCAUCUUAAAACAGAACAAACUUGCCUUGAUUCUACAUCCCUCUUGGCUAUCACACCAUAUGUCUGCUUCUCUUCACUUUAAAACUUUAAAAAGAAUUUUCUUUAGUGUGUCUCCCCACUUCCUCAAUACUUCAGGGAAAACACUAUCAUCAAGGUCAGCCUCACCUUCCAAAUAACUUUUCUUGGACAUCUAAAAGGAAUCUCAAACUUGAUAUGGCUACAAACAAUUUCUUUCUUCUAACUCCACAAAAUAAUCUGGCCCUUCUCCAGUCUUCCUAUGUCACUCAAUGGCAGCAUCUUUCACUCAGUUCAAGCCUUGAUUAUUCUCUUUCUCUCAUAUCCUCUGUACAAUUAAUCAAAAUGUUUUGUUGGCUACUCUUACAAAAUACACCCUGAAUCCAUUGGCCUCUCUCCAUUUCCUAUCACUCCAGUCCAAUCACCAUCAUUCUUCACUUGGACUUACCCAGCAGCCUCCUGACAGUCUCCCCUCUUCCACACUUGCCUCACAGCAUCCAUUUUCUACACAGCCACUUCUGCGAUCUUUCAAAAUCAUAGAUGACAUCAGGUCAUGUCCAACAGCUUCCCAUUACACUUAGAAUAAAUUCAAGCUCUUUCCGAUGACCACCUGACCCGGCCCUUGCCUACUCAUCAAAUCCCAUCUCAGAUCACUCCUCCCACCCACUUCCACCUUUGCUCCAGCCUAGGGGGCUCCUGGACAUUCCCCAAUCACCGUACACCAGACAAUCUCAAAGCCUUCACUUCUGCUGGAUCUGCCUAACAUGCUUGCCUCCAAGACCUUCCGUUGUCCAGCUCCUUCUUAUCUCAGCUCAGAAGUCACUUCCUCUCCCAGACCAUUCAUUCUAAAGCAGCCACCAACCAACUCAUCACUUUUUAUUAUGCUACUCAGUUUUCUUUUCUUCACGGCGCUUGUUCAACAAAUGAAGUGAUUUUAGCUGACAUCUCAAGAGUAGGUAAAUCUACCUUUAAAGAUACUCUCCAGGGAUUAAUUUAAUAAGGAAAGGCUUUGAGUGAGAUGAAUGCUGAGGAAGUCUGAAAACAAUGCCUCAUCUUUAAGGGCAGUCCCUGGGUUGUAUAGGUAAGUAUUAUUGGCUUUUUCAAAUGUUCUUCAGAGAAGUUUAAAAUCUGGUGAGUGUAAUCCCAAUUUCAGCUCUAGGUCUAACAUCUAGGUUCUUUGACUAUGCCACAUGGCCUAAAGAACUUUGGAUCUUAUAUCCUAUGUUCCUCUGUCUCAGCAAGCCACCAACUCAGGGGACUUCUUUCCUCUUUUUUUUGAGCAUUUAACCUGUUAGCCUCUGUGACUUGGAGUGACUUUCAUGAUGUUCUAAGCACUCUGGUCCUUCCUUCUCAGUGUAAAAGCUUUUCAUGGUUAAUUUAAGAAGUGAUUUUUUUCCACCAAACUUCCUUUUAACAAAAGGACAUAACUAAUUUUGCCUCCUUCUGAGUGAUGACAUCACUUGUGCUUUCAGAAGCUAAUUGGGAGAUAUCCAUUUUUAAUUUUUUGAUACCAUUGAUGAAUGAGAAAUAUAUAUGAUAUAAUAUAUAACAGAUAAUAUAUAAUAAAGUAUAAAUUCCUUUACUGCUAGUGGGAGUUAAACAGCACAUGUCCUUUGGAAAUAAAUUCUCUUCCCUGCUAUAAUAAUAGCUGGGUUCUUUUGUUUGUUUGUUUGUUUGUUUUUACUUCAGAAAUUCUGGAAUCAGUGUUCAGCCAACAGUAAUUACUGCUCAUUACAAUAAUCAUCACCAUCAGCCUGAUCGGUCCCCUGGGGCACGAGUCAGGGCCUAAGGAAGUGCAUUUUUAUCUAGGAUAAUGAAGAAUUUUACCUGAGGCCCAGGGCGGCCUCUCAGGGAGCCAAAUUUGAUGACUGAUACUGGCAGCUGUUAAUAUAUUGAAUUCUGAAGUCAGAAUCAUUGUUUUAAGUGUUUUCUGAGUGAAACCAUAUUCAAAGGAAUUUGAAAUUUCAAUCUCAUGUUGAAAAGUCUUUGUAGGUCCCAUGUAUGAAAUGAAAACGAGAACAAAUGUGGAUAAGUGGUUAGAAGUUUCUUAAGCAAGGAAAGUAACAUCAGCACCAACCCAUUUUACAGAGGAGUGGAGACUAGCCUCUGCUUCCUGGCUUGGGGGUUCCCUUUAAAGUAACAUGUAAUAGAAUGGCUGGGGAGGAGGGUGGGCACUGGAGGAAGAUCAGGCAUCGUAAAUGGUUUACAGAAUAAAAGCAUAAAAUCUCAGGAUUGAAGUGGAGCUGAGACUUGAGUCCCAGCAUUAGAGUGAACCUUUCUGAUGAACCAAGCAUUACAUAUAUUUAGGGUUCGGAAGUGGGGACCUAGGCUCUAUCUUUCAGGAGAUCAUAGUCUCGAGCAGGACUAUCAGUUAGGAUGCAGUCCAAAUGAAGCAUCCAAAUAAAAAAUCCAGCUACAGUGGCUUAACUCCAUAGGGUUGUAUUCCUCCCGAGGUGAGACCCGGAGGCGGGCAGUUCAGAGUCAUCCAGGCUCUAGCUCCAAAUAUCUUUCUGCUCCACCAUCACCAACAUAUGACUUGUCACUCAAGGCUGCUGGGUAGCGACUCUACCUCUUCUCAUGCCUCCUGCCAGCAAGGAAGGAAGAGGAAGAAUGAAGAGGAGGGGACUAAAGCUACCCGAGUGAGGAAAACAAAAUCUUCCCCAGAAAUCUCUAGAAGAUAUUCAUUUAUGUCUCCUGGCCAGAAUGGUGCAGCAAGGCUGCCCUUAUCUGCAAAGGAUUCUGGAAAGGCAAGUAUUUAAGCCAGGUAUAUUGCCACUUCAAACAAAAUAGGGACUUUGCCAUAACAAAAACGUGAGAAUGGAGAUUGGUUAGCCAUGAGGAGUGUCUGCCAUAGACUAACAAACACAUAACAAUUGCGCUACAGUGUGACUUGUGCAUAAUAAAUUUUUGCAGAACACAGGACUGUCCACCCUCCUGUGGGGGAGGUGUUAUGGAGGGCUUCACUGAGGAAGUAACACUUGCACUGAGUUUCAAAGAAAGAAUGGAAUUGGCAGAGUGAACAAAAGGGAGGACUACUUCAAGAGGGACUAAGAGAGUUAAGUGGGCAUGGAAAUGGUUGUACAUCAGAACAUUUUCAGCUGCCACUGACAGAAUGCAACUUGAACCAAAAAGUACAGAGGCAAGGGUUCAGGUAUGGCUGGCUCCAGUAGUUCAAAUGAUGUUGCCAAGUCUCAAUAUCUCUCUCUUUCUUCUCUUUGAUUCUCCAACAGCCAGUAAGCAGUUCCAGGCUUAUAUCCCAUCCUAUCAGCAGCCCCAGAAGUUCCAAUAAAGUUCUGCAUGUGCAUCUCAUUGGAAGAACUUGGGACAUGUGUCCAUCACUCUGACCUGUCACUGUGGACAGGAAAAUGGGAUAUGCUGACCGGGAAGGCUGGAUUCCAUAACCACCACUGAGCCCUACCCAAGCCACUUGAACUAAGAGUGGAAAAGAAAGUUCUUCAAAGGAAAACUGGGAGUAAAUAAAACAGGUAUGCCCUUUCCUUCCCAGACCUUCUGCAUCAGGGGAGGCUGGUCCUGCCUCAGUCCUGGAGGGUGAAUCCUGAUUGGUCUGAGACCAGGAUGAUGGUUCCAUUCCACUCACAAUGAUCGAUCCAGGCGUGUGCUUAUGUGAUUUGAGGGGAAGUCUGCUGCAAAACAACUGGGAAGAAUUCCUCCUUCUUAAAAAGAGGCACGAGGGAGAGACCAUCUGUUAUCUCCUAUAACCACCUUGCCACCAGGAGAGGAUCAUCACAAUAGCUGCUUUAAAGUCCAUCCAGGGGCUGGCCCCGUGGCCGAGU